CCUACGGGUGGCAGCAGUGGGGAAUAUUGGGCAAUGGGCGCAAGCCUGACCCAGCAACGCCGCGUGAAGGAAGAAGGCUUUCGGGUUGUAAACUUCUUUUCUCAGGGACGAAGCAAGUGACGGUACCUGCGGAAUAAGCCACGGCUAACUACGUGCCAGCAGCCGCGGUAAUACGUAGGCGGCAAGCGUUAUCCGGAUUUACUGGGUGUAAAGGGCGUGUAGGCGGGGAGGCAAGUCAGAUGUGAAAACCACGGGCUCAACCUGUGGCCUGCAUUUGAAACUGUGUGUCUUGAGUACUGGAGAGGCAGACGGAAUGCGUGGUGUAGCGGUGAAAUGCGUAGAUAUUAGGAGGAACACCAGUGGCGAAGGCGGUCUGCUGGACAGCAACUGACGCUGAGGCGCGAAAGCGUGGGGAGCGAACAGGAUUAGAUACCCUGGUAGUC
Molecule: ribosomal RNA, 443 nt
Filed under: uncultured bacterium
Lineage: Bacteria
Description: partial 16S ribosomal RNA
Rfam family: Bacterial small subunit ribosomal RNA
Source: RNAcentral